Molecule: long non-coding RNA, 1086 nt
Organism: Macrobrachium nipponense
Lineage: Eukaryota; Metazoa; Arthropoda; Malacostraca; Decapoda; Palaemonidae
Exons: 3
Source: RefSeq, a predicted model, not a curated record
AACUUCUUGAGAGUCAUCCUUUUGAACCGACGGAGUAUGUAAAUAUAGGUACAGUAAAGAGAAGAAAAAGGAAAUAUGAGCAUUAUGAUAAAAGAAAAAAAUGAGAAGAAUAAGUGAGGUAGGAGAGGGAUCUAAAGUAAAUACAUAUUGACUUUGUCAAAAGAAUGAAAACAACGAGGUUUAUUGUUGGCAAUUUAUCCCCACUUUCCUGAUCCGUGAUUCCGUGACUCGUGAGUGAAUUGUCGUUACUCGUUAGUCGUUACACAAACACCGAAAUUGCUGUUGGUGCUCCUCCGCCCAGAUCGCGCGUCGCCACCGUAAUUCAACUGAACCGAAAAUAUUCUUUUUUGUCAGUGUCCAAUUUCAAUGUGUACUAGGGUGUGUAAUGCAAUUGAAACCAAAGACUGCUCUAUCUUCCAGAGGUUAAUUACGAUAAGAAUUUCGGGUCAAGUACUGCACGUUGGAGGCCGUAUCGAAAGUCUUCAUCUGGGGAACAGAUUGUUGGGGAACAGCGAUCGACCAAACAAUUGGCCGCGAUCGACUAGUAGAUCGCCAUCGACUGUUUGGCCGCCUUUGCCCUAAUACUACUGAUCCAUAGUGAGAAGCGUGGAGAUGAGUGCAACAAGGUGCUGCAGUGCAGUGUCUUUGUUUUGUUCGUCUCAGUGGUAUUCUGGGAGCAAUAGGAGAACAUUCCUCAACACUGCUUGGAUGACAAUAUGACUCUAGUGGUUGAUAAAAGUGUGUAACUAUUAUGACAAUGCGACGGCUUCAGUUCUGAAUAUUUGUAUUUUUUAAGUUUUUUUUUAUUUAUAACUUUUUAUAUUUUAAGGAAUUGUAGUAAUUGAUGAAAUUAUAGGUCGAUAUAUUUUGAAGACUAAAGAAAAAUGAUUAAAAUCUGUCUUUUCAUUCCCUAAGGCGCAGUUUCUAUAAGAGAUUUUAUCACCUGAAGGCCGCUGUUAAGACAUUCAUGAAAUGAUCGUCUGAAUGAAGGCUGGUGAGCUUAGUUAGAAAGGAUUGCGGUACUUCAGUAAUUAUGCAACGAAAGACAUCUCUUGAUAAGAAACGAACAGUUUCUUAGUGGUUCUC